This is an RNA transcript of Onychostoma macrolepis, 589 nucleotides long. It is a transcript of the gene named small integral membrane protein 11-like, with no coding region annotated. NCBI's taxonomy places the organism in Eukaryota, Metazoa, Chordata, Actinopteri, Cypriniformes, Cyprinidae. The transcript has 4 exons. The record is from RefSeq and is a predicted model, not a curated record.
CACGCCUCCAGAGGUCACUUUACUGACCCAUGUGGCGAAUAAAUAGAAAAAAGCACGAGUUGAGUUUAGUGUUAGACGCCAAUCAAAUCAAAAGAAGAAGAAGAGUUUAGAGUCGCACAGAUUUACCUUAAUUCUACUGAAUAAAUCACCAUCAUGAUCAACUGGAAGGCUCUGGAUAACGUGCCGCUGCUGCUGUACAUCCUGGCACUGAAGACGCUCGUGUUGUGUUUGGCGUUUGCUGGAGCGAAGAUCUACCAGAGUAAGAAAGCAGACGCUGCUCUGAAACAGCAGACGGAGAUGAAGAAGAAACUCGCUCAGCAAACGCAGGAGCUCAUCGAUGACAAGAAGGACGACUGACGUGAUUUGUGGGAAAAACAGGGCCACGUAUCCACUGAGAAACCAACAUUUAGAGAUUACAAAAAAGGGUCACACAAGUGAACUAGAUCAACUUUUAUCUUUAAAUGCUUCCUGGGAGCUAAACGUAAGUCACCUCAUCUAAAUAUUCACAACAAACCCCCUUUCAAAAUGAAACCAAGAAAUACACUUUCACUGCUUUUCCCCACAGCUUCUCAGAUGUUUGUAUCCCUCA